GGGUGUUCCGACGAAGGCAGGGUGGAGGUGUGUGCACAGGCAGGGAAGGGCCGGCAGGAGGAAAGUUGUGUACACCUGAGGCCCACAGGGCUCCCUCGCGGUUUGCGCUCUCUAGCCCUGAAACAAUCUGGUGAAUGGGAACUAUUUUUAUUUCCAUUUUACAGGAAGGAAACAGAGGCUCAGAGGGGUUAGAAACCUGGGGAUUUGACAGAGUAGCUCAGGCAGGAGAAGGGCCAGCCAGGAUUGGAUCUCAGCUCUCCAAUGACUGCAAGUUCUUCAGACGGACAGCAUCCUUUGCAUAAUGAGGCCGUCAGAUCGGGAGACAAGUGCCCAUUGAAGACAUCGUUCCUUACCCACAGUUCCCGAGAAGGCACGCCAUGCCGGGAACUGACUAACCCUGAGAGGGACGGUCCCUCCUGGGUCAGUCAGCAAGACGUCAAGAUGCCGGAGCAUCAGGAUAAAAAGACAUGUUUCUGUAGUCGGCUGCCCCUGCCAUGAACUCCUGCAGCUCACCGAGCUUGACCCUUGACUUGUCCAUCACGCUGUACUGUCGUAAGGGCAGAGGUAAACCUCCCAAAGCAAAGCGUCUGCACACAAAAGAUGAUGGGG
Acinonyx jubatus (cheetah) is the source of this 609-nucleotide long non-coding RNA. RefSeq lists it as uncharacterized. The record is from RefSeq and is a predicted model, not a curated record. The transcript is spliced from 3 exons. NCBI's taxonomy places the organism in Eukaryota, Metazoa, Chordata, Mammalia, Carnivora, Felidae.